This 433-nucleotide ribosomal RNA is filed under the name uncultured bacterium. Its description in RNAcentral is "partial 16S ribosomal RNA". It matches the Rfam family "Bacterial small subunit ribosomal RNA", at positions 29 to 507 of the family's 1533-position model. The record is from RNAcentral.
AGCGAACGCUGGCGGCAUGCCUAACACAUGCAAGUCGAACGAGACCUUCGGGUCUAGUGGCGCACGGGUGCGUAACGCGUGGGAACCUGCCCUUAGGUUCGGAAUAACUCCCCGAAAGGGGUGCUAAUACCGGAUAAUGUCUUCGGACCAAAGAUUCAUCGCCUUUGGAUGGGCCCGCGUUGGAUUAGCUAGUUGGUAGGGUAAAAGCCUACCAAGGCGACGAUCCAUAGCUGGUCUGAGAGGAUGAUCAGCCACACUGGGACUGAGACACGGCCCAGACUCCUACGGGAGGCAGCAGUGGGGAAUAUUGGACAAUGGGCGAAAGCCUGAUCCAGCAAUGCCGCGUGAGUGAUGAAGGCCUUAGGGUUGUAAAGCUCUUUUACCCGGGAUGAUAAUGACAGUACCGGGAGAAUAAGCUCCGGCUAACUCCGUG